CAGGCGAGCAAGUGUGCGUCAUAUGAGAGGCCCCGCCUUACAUUUUCCGCGACAGAUUUGGGGAAAUUGGUCCUUGCGCAAAGCAUUGUGGGGAUUUUAAGACCGCAGAGUCUACUCAUGUGCAGCCUCAACAUUUCUCCAAAUGAAGUACGCCGGGCUCGGUAGAAUUUCAAGUAUGCUGGACAUUGUCACUCGAUGACUUAGCAUGCUUGAAAUAUUGGCUCUGGAGCAGCUUUACUCGAGAUUGAGAAACACCCUCAAUGUCGAGUAAACCUGCUGCAGAGCCACUAUUUCAAGUAUACUACGUCAUCGAGUGGCGCCGAAGGACUGUUUAAAUGAGAAGGGUCCAGCUGUAGCCGCAGCCGGUGGAAGUUGAACCUGUAGGAAGUUGUACUUCCAAAUAUGGUCAGAAGAGAGCGCGCCCAACACGUGAGAUGCUGACGCAAGGAUAUUUAAUCAGACAUGGAGGUUAACAGAGAACAGACAACAGACAAUAUGGUGCAGCGAGUACAGGAGGGACCCCAGAGCCAAGGGCAGGCCGAGUAGACCGCCUUCUCCCGCCGCAGGCAGGAUCAAACUCUCUGUCCGGCAGCUUCCCUGGUAAAGUCCCCUCAGUCUGUGCAGGGAGCCGCGCCGUGCCCAUGUACUCCCCGUUCUGCCCUAUCUGCACCACGGUGAUGCUGCUGUCAUCGCUCGCCUCUCCUCCGGUGGUGCCUUCUCCUUCCGCCGCCACACUGCCCAGCACACUGGAGAUCACUAUCCUGUCGGGGGUCGCCAGUAUCUGGCACUGUUAUUUUGGGGGUCGCGGGCUGAAAAGUCUCAUCAUACUUAAUCCUAGACAGUAGCACAUGGUAUAUAUUGUACGACUUUGUAAUUUUUGAAUGUUGAUAUGUAUUCGCUCAUGUCAUGGUUUUGGAUUGUUGUUUUCAUUUUCCACUUUAUUCUGAAAUGUUUUCCUCCUUGUGUCUUGUCUGGUCCUACUUCCUGUGUUUGCCUUCCUGUCGUUAGUUUCCUGUGUGUCUGAUUGUCUGAUUGUGUUCACCUGUUGCCCUUGUGUUUCUGCCUCCCCUGUCUAGCUGUGUCUUGUCCUGUGAUUACCCUUCUGUGUAUUUAGUCUUGUCUUCCCCUGUGCUCCAUGUCUGUUCAUCGUCAUUUCAUGUCCCUGCUACCUGUCAUCUAUGCCAUGUCUCCUGCCUGUUCCUGUCUGUCGUGCUCCCCGGUUUUGUUUCUGUUAAUUAGUUUCUUGUUUUUCAUGCCUUCGGCUUUUUAUAAUAAAGCUCGCUUUUUGUUAACAAA
Long non-coding RNA from Gymnodraco acuticeps, 1296 nucleotides. RefSeq lists it as uncharacterized. Lineage: Eukaryota; Metazoa; Chordata; Actinopteri; Perciformes; Bathydraconidae. The record is from RefSeq and is a predicted model, not a curated record. The transcript is spliced from 2 exons.